RNAcentral lists this microRNA precursor (61 nucleotides) under Eisenia fetida (common brandling worm). RNAcentral describes it as "Efe-Mir-2-o24_pre stem-loop". Lineage: Eukaryota; Metazoa; Annelida; Clitellata; Crassiclitellata; Lumbricidae. The record is from RNAcentral.
ACGGCAAAGUUGCGGUGAUGUGUAUGAUUGUCAAGUCAUAUCACAGCCUGCUUUGACGAGC